This is a small nucleolar RNA of 112 nucleotides. It matches the Rfam family "Small nucleolar RNA Z152/R70/R12/". Rfam says of the family: Z152 is a member of the C/D class of snoRNA which contain the C (UGAUGA) and D (CUGA) box motifs. Most of the members of the box C/D family function in directing site-specific 2'-O-methylation of substrate RNAs. The record is from Rfam.
AAUGCUGUGAUGAGAUGAAGCACUUUGGUGCGUAUAUGGGUAGUGGACGAGGCCUUUCAAAGGCAUUGCCGUGAACCCUAUUUAUUAACGACUUCUCCUUCCACUGAGCUCU